RNAcentral lists this ribosomal RNA (305 nucleotides) under uncultured bacterium. Its description in RNAcentral is "bacterial SSU rRNA". It matches the Rfam family "Bacterial small subunit ribosomal RNA", at positions 336 to 658 of the family's 1533-position model. The record is from RNAcentral.
UUCCUACGGGGCGCAGCAGUGGGGAAUAUUGCACAAUGGGGGAAACCCUGAUGCAGCGACGCCGCGUGAAGGAAGAAGUAUUUCGGUAUGUAAACUUCUAUCAGCAGGGAAGAAAAUGACGGUACCUGACUAAGAAGCCCCGGCUAACUACGUGCCAGCAGCCGCGGUAAUACGUAGGGGGCAAGCGUUAUCCGGAUUUACUGGGUGUAAAGGGAGCGUAGACGGCACUGCAAGUCCGGAGUGAAAGCCCAAGGCUUAACCAUGGGCCUGCUCUGGAAACUGUGGAGCUUGAGUGCGGGCGGGGC